GAUGAACGGCUGGCGGCGCACAUAAGACAUGCAAGUCGGAACGGACGUUAACCAGUUAGUUUACUAUUGGAGCGGUUAGUGGCGGACUGGUGAGUAACGCGUAAGCAAUCUGCCUAUCAGAGGGGAAUAACAGUGAGAAAUCACUGCUAAUACCGCAUAAGCCCACAGCUCGGCAUCGAGCAGAGGGAAAAGGAGUGAUCCGCUUUGAGAUGGCCUCGCGUCCGAUUAGCUAGUUGGUGAGGUAACGGCCCACCAAGGCAACGAUCGGUAGCCGGACUGAGAGGUUGAACGGCCACAUUGGGACUGAGACACGGCCCAG
This 319-nucleotide ribosomal RNA is filed under the name uncultured bacterium. RNAcentral describes it as "bacterial SSU rRNA". It matches the Rfam family "Bacterial small subunit ribosomal RNA", at positions 35 to 334 of the family's 1533-position model. The record is from RNAcentral.